Molecule: non-coding RNA, 135 nt
Organism: Triticum urartu
Lineage: Eukaryota; Viridiplantae; Streptophyta; Magnoliopsida; Poales; Poaceae
Source: Rfam
CUAGUACUCCCUCCGUUUUGAAUUACUUGUCUUGGAUUUGUCUAGAUGCGGAUGUAUCUAGACUCAUUUUAGUGCUAGAUACCUCCGUAUCUAGACAAAUCUAAGACAAGUAAUUCGGAACGGAGGAAGUACUUC